GGGGACGUAAGAUUCGACAGGAAUUUGAAUAAAAAAUGCAAGUCGAGCUUCGAAUCUCGUAAAUCUUCGAAAAACCAUUAAGUGCCAAUAAUUUAUUUGCACCCGCAUUAGCUACUGCUUAAUGCCGUUUACCUUACUGAUUCUCGAUAGGUAAAAGUAGGCGUGAUAUUAUCGAGAUAGAUAAUUUUUCGGGAACUGGGAGAAUUAUCAAAAAUUAACAGAACAAAAAUCAGAAAAAUUUUGCCCAGUUUAAAUUUUCUGAGUUCAACCAAUUGGGCUAAGCUUGUAGAAUUAUUUUAGAAUAAUUUCUGGACAAGGGUUCGCCCCCUUCGUCUCCACAA
This 341-nucleotide transfer-messenger RNA is filed under the name bacterium. It matches the Rfam family "transfer-messenger RNA". Rfam says of the family: Bacterial tmRNA, also known as 10Sa RNA or SsrA, is named for its dual tRNA and mRNA-like properties. Its role is to liberate the mRNA from a stalled ribosome. The record is from RNAcentral.